RNAcentral lists this unclassified non-coding RNA (142 nucleotides) under uncultured Dothideomycetes. RNAcentral describes it as "sequence contains ITS2". The record is from RNAcentral. Lineage: Eukaryota; Fungi; Ascomycota; Dothideomycetes.
AAACUAUCAAGCCUGGCUUGGUCUUGGGCGCGGUCCUGGGACCCGCCCGCAACCCGUCGGCGGUGCCGGUUCGGCCCUGAGCGUAGCAGAAGAUACUCGCUCUGGGGCCGCGGCGGCGCCCGCCAGCAAGUUUUUACCUACG